AACCCAUGGUGAGGGCACCUUCUCAAUAAGUCCUUGUAUCUCUCCCAUGCAUCGUAAAGUGUUUCUAAAUCUAUCUGUACAAAAGAUCAUGCAUAUAGCU
Molecule: small nucleolar RNA, 100 nt
Filed under: Gossypium hirsutum (cotton)
Lineage: Eukaryota; Viridiplantae; Streptophyta; Magnoliopsida; Malvales; Malvaceae
Also listed under: 1 other name
Description: Plant small nucleolar RNA R71
Rfam family: Plant small nucleolar RNA R71
About the family: R71 is a member of the C/D box family of snoRNAs containing the C (UGAUGA) and D (CUGA) box motifs. Multiple nearly identical copies of this snoRNA have been identified in Arabidopsis, and it is thought to function as a 2'-O-ribose methylation guide for 18S ribosomal RNA.
Source: Rfam by way of RNAcentral